GAGAUUUGGCUGAAAAUGAUGCAUGAAAUAUGAAAUCGUCUAUGCAUUUGAGACCCCCAGUAAAGUUUAAUUGUUAUUUUGGUGUUGUUAAAUGCAUAAAUAUUUCCUGCGUUUCACUCCAUAGUGAUAUCCGUAAAAUAAUUUUGCGAAUAACGAAAACUGCUGUUUCGAGCAACGAUCGAAGAGUUCCCUAGUCUCCUAGAGCAAAUAGUCUUCUUGAAGCCAGAUAUGGACAAUGCGAUCUACCACUUCAUGGACUGCGACGGCAGCAAAGACGGACCGCCGCAGCCCUACCCGGACCUCUCUCAGAUAGCCGACUUUUCCACGGCGGCCGAGGCAGCGCCGCAAGACGAGCCCGCCCAGCCGCGCGUGCGAAAAUUCUACCCAGGCGUGCUCGAUUCCAAGUACAUGCAGGCGGUGGUGCGCGGCGGCCGGGAGGGCCUGCUCCAGUUCCGCGAGAACCCGCAGCGCAGCCACCCGGUGCCGUACCCGUGGCCAGAGUGGUUUGAUCACGAGACUGGUUCUCCGGCAGGUAAGAAGCGCCACGGCCAGCGCGGCUACCCGGAGGGCUGCACCAGCCAGCGGCCGGCCGCCGUGCCGGGCUGCGGCGGCUCCGUCAGCGGCAGAGGCGGAGGAAACCGGCCCGUGCCGUCCAUGUACGACCCGCCUCCGUGCGCGGCCGCCGUCGCCGCCGCCAACGCAGCAGCCUCGGCCGCUGAGGUGCACCACUGCCAGCCGGUGGUGGUGGCCUGUCCGAUACCGGCACAGCCGCACCACCAGCAGCAGCACCAGCCGCACCAGCACCAGCCGCAGCAGCCGCCACCGUUCGUGCGCGCCGCCAACACGGAACACUGCAUUCCGUGCAGCGCGGCGCCCGAGGUGUGGGCCGACCCCAGCGACCCGCGAGCCGACUGCACCCCGCACCGUCCGCCGCCGCCGCAGCACCACGCGCCGCACCACCAGCGACCGCGGCCACAGCCCGCCAGCACCGACAGGAACUUCGUGCCCUCCUACCUGCACGAGCCGGAGAACAUGGCGAAGAUAAUCGCUCACGACUACCAGCGUCAGUGGGUGGACGAGCGGGACUCGUGGGAGGAAUCGCACGCCACCUCCAACGACAACCAGCGCAUGCGCAUGCAGAACCGCUGCAGCCACCAGGAGCGCAAGUAGGUUUGUGGAGCACCAAAAAUGCGCCCGUGACACGAAGGCGAAGGUGGCCGAGGGUCAGCUUCCGGACUGCCGGAAAAAGUCGACCACGAAGCGGCCGUGGUACCCUCCCGGGAAGGUGUGCGUCGUACGCAGACGCUGCGGCUGCUGACAGGGACACGGCGGUCCACAGCGAGAUAUCAGCCGACAAAUCAGCAGUGACGUUUCUCAGUGAGCCAUAGAGUCAGGAGUAAAUUCAUGUGGCGUCAAGUGCGUAAUACAUCUGGACCAGAAAACA
RNAcentral lists this unclassified non-coding RNA (1444 nucleotides) under Amphibalanus amphitrite. RNAcentral describes it as "pair-rule protein odd-paired-like, transcript variant X2". Lineage: Eukaryota; Metazoa; Arthropoda; Thecostraca; Balanomorpha; Balanidae. The record is from RNAcentral.